UCUAACAUGGCAGAAUAGUGCAAAAGACUUAAAAUCUUUAUAUAGAUUUAAUUCUUAUUAGAA
Molecule: transfer RNA, 63 nt
Filed under: Aposthonia borneensis
Lineage: Eukaryota; Metazoa; Arthropoda; Insecta; Embioptera; Oligotomidae
Description: tRNA-Leu
Rfam family: tRNA
About the family: Transfer RNA (tRNA) molecules are approximately 80 nucleotides in length. Their secondary structure includes four short double-helical elements and three loops (D, anti-codon, and T loops).
Source: RNAcentral